GGUUCAAAGCUUUGGUUUUUCACUCAGAGAUCAGGAAGUUGAAUGUCUUGAUAAGUGAAGAGCAGAAAGCAUCAGUAACACACAGUAAGAGCUCAGAGAACUGAGAGCAUUAACACACAACUGAUCUGAUCUGAUUCACCAUGAACAAAUACAUGCUGCUGCUUUUCAUUAUGGCGUCAGAUGUGACGGCUGAGGACAAAAUCGAGCCAAACCGAGGGACCAAAGUCAUCAAAACAGCAGGAGAGUCUGUAACACUGAGCUGCUCUUAUGAUUCAGACAGUGAAUAUGUGCGUCUUUACUGGUACAGACAAUAUCCCAAUGAAGAACCUCAAUAUUUACUACGUGAAGGAGCUCGAAGGAACUCUGCUAAAGACAGCUCUGAUCCUCGAUUUCAGUCAAGUACUUCUCGCAUAUUGACUGAACUCAUUAUUAACCGUGUGACUGUGUCAGAUUCAGCUCUCUAUUAUUGUGCUCUAAGAGUUGAAGCCCAGUGAUACAAAACAUGAAACACGUCGUACAAAAACUUAAAGCCAUUUUUCACUUUAAAGCUCAUAUGAAAACCAAAUCAAAACCUCAGUGUGAGAUAAUAACUGCAAACACCUGUGUGAGGCUGUGGGAACAGGAUUUUAGAAAAUGCAUAAAAGGGCAAACAAAGUUAAUAAUUCUUAAAAGAGUUUAAGGUUGUGUUAAAAUUGUGUGUUAAAAAUGUACUCUAGGUGUGCAACACUUGCAAAAAACUAAGCUUCCCAGUGUUAAAUUUGAAGAAUAGUUCACCCAAAAAUGAAAAUCCUGUCAUUUACUCGCCCUCAAGUUGUUCCAAACCUGUAUGAAUUUCUUUCUUCUGCUGAACACAAAAGAAGAUAUUUUGAAGAAUAUGGGUAAACUAACAGUUGAUGGACCCCAUAGUAUUUUUUUUCCAUAUGAAGUCAAUAGUGGUUACACAUA
Molecule: non-coding RNA, 945 nt
Organism: Megalobrama amblycephala (Wuchang bream)
Lineage: Eukaryota; Metazoa; Chordata; Actinopteri; Cypriniformes; Xenocyprididae
Source: the annotation of a RefSeq genome assembly